This 120-nucleotide ribosomal RNA is filed under the name Helianthus annuus (common sunflower). Lineage: Eukaryota; Viridiplantae; Streptophyta; Magnoliopsida; Asterales; Asteraceae. The record is from RNAcentral.
GGUUGCGAUCAUACCAGCACUAAUGCACCGGAUCCCAUCAGAACUCCGCAGUUAAGCGUGCCUGGGCGAGAGUAGUACUAGGAUGGGUGACCCCCUGGGAAGUCCUCGUGUUGCAACCCC